RNAcentral lists this ribosomal RNA (1413 nucleotides) under metagenome. RNAcentral describes it as "bacterial SSU rRNA". It matches the Rfam family "Bacterial small subunit ribosomal RNA". The record is from RNAcentral.
AGAGUUUGAUCCUGGCUCAGAUUGAACGCUGGCGGCGUGGCUAAAACAUGCAAGUCGAACGCGAAAGCGGGGGCAACUCCGCAAGUAGAGUGGCGAAAGGGCGAGUAAUACGUUUCUAACGUACCCCGAGGCCAGGGAUAGCCCGACGAAAGUCGGAUUAAUACCUGAUGGCCCGGCGAGACCGUAUGGUUUUGCCGGUAAAGGCUUGCCACCUCGGGAGCGGGGAACGUCCUAUCAGGUAGUUGGUAGGGUAAUGGCCUACCAAGCCUAAGACGGGUAGCCGGUGUGAGAGCACGGCCGGCCGCAUCGGGACUGAGACACUGCCCGGACUCCUACGGGAGGCUGCAGUAACGAAUAUUCCCCAAUGCCCGCAAGGGUGAGGGAGCGACGCCGCGUGGAGGAUGAAGCCCUUCGGGGUGUAAACUCCUGUCAGGGUUUAGGAACUCAUGACCAAACCCAGAGGAAGAGGCGACUAACUCUGUGCCAGCAGUCGCGGUAAUACUGAGGCCUCGAGCGUUAAUCGGAAUCACUGGGCUUAAAGGGUGCGUAGGCGGCGCUGCAAGUGCCUUGUGAAAUCCCAUGGCUCAACCAUGGAACUGCUUGGUAGACUGCAGCGCUUGAGGUCGGUAGGGGUCGCUGGAACUCUAGGUGGAGCGGUGAAAUGCGUAGAUAUCUAGAGGAACGCCAAAGGUGAAGACAGGCGACUGGGCCGAUUCUGACGCUGAGGCACGAAAGCGUGGGGAGCAAACGGGAUUAGAUACCCCGGUAGUCCACGCCCUAAACGAUGUCAACUAGACCCGGGAGGCACUGACGCCAUCCGGAUCGAAGCUAAAGUGCUAAGUUGACCGCCUGGGGAGUACGGUCGCAAGGCUAAAACUCAAAGGAAUUGACGGGGGCUCACACAAGCGGUGGAGCAUGUGGCUCAAUUCGACGCGAAGAACCUUAUCCUGGGCUUGACAUGUAUGGAUUAGCCUCCCGAAAGGGAGGUAACACCCGCAAGGGCGGAACAUACACAGGUGCUGCAUGGCUGUCGUCAGCUCGUGCUGUGAAGUGUCGGGUUAAGUCCCUCAACGAGUGAAACCCCUGUCGUUAGUUGCUAAGGCGCAAGCCAGGACUCUAACGAGACUGCCGGCGUCAAGCCGGAGGAAGGUGGGGAUGACGUCAAGUCCUCAUGGCCUUUAUGCCCAGGGCUGCACACGUGCUACAAUGGCACUUACAAAGCGACGCAAGACCGCAAGGUGGAGCAAAUCGCAUAAAAGGUGCCCCAGUUCAGAUUGGGGUCUGCAACUCGACCCCAUGAAGUUGGAAUCGCUAGUAAUCGCGGAUCAGCUACGCCGCUGUGAAUUUGUUCCUGAGCCUUGUACACACCGCCCGUCAAGCCAUGGGAGCCGGGAAUACCCGAAGUCGUCUCGA